Molecule: ribosomal RNA, 510 nt
Filed under: uncultured bacterium
Lineage: Bacteria
Description: partial 16S ribosomal RNA
Rfam family: Bacterial small subunit ribosomal RNA
Source: RNAcentral
GACGAACGCUGGCGGCGUGCUUAACACAUGCAAGUCGAACGAAGAGCGAUGGAAGCUUGCUUCUAUCAAUCUUAGUGGCGAACGGGUGAGUAACGCGUAAUCAACCUGCCCUUCAGAGGGGGACAACAGUUGGAAACGACUGCUAAUACCGCAUACGAUCUAACCUCGGCAUCGAGGAUAGAUGAAAGGUGGCCUCUACAUGUAAGCUAUCACUGAAGGAGGGGAUUGCGUCUGAUUAGCUAGUUGGAGGGGUAACGGCCCACCAAGGCGAUGAUCAGUAGCCGGUCUGAGAGGAUGAACGGCCACAUUGGGACUGAGACACGGCCCAGACUCCUACGGGAGGCAGCAGUGGGGAAUCUUCCGCAAUGGGCGAAAGUCUGACGGAGCAACGCCGCGUGAGUGAUGACGGCCUUCGGGUUGUAAAGCUCUGUUAAUCGGGACGAAAGGCCUUCUUGCGAAUAGUGAGAAGGAUUGACGGUACCGGAAUAGAAAGCCACGGCUAACUACGUG